RNAcentral lists this transfer RNA (77 nucleotides) under Ktedonobacterales bacterium. Its description in RNAcentral is "tRNA-Pro". It matches the Rfam family "tRNA". Rfam says of the family: Transfer RNA (tRNA) molecules are approximately 80 nucleotides in length. Their secondary structure includes four short double-helical elements and three loops (D, anti-codon, and T loops). Lineage: Bacteria; Bacillati; Chloroflexota; Ktedonobacteria; Ktedonobacterales. The record is from RNAcentral.
CGGGGUGUAGCGCAGCUGGUCAGCGCGCAUGGUUUGGGACCAUGAGGUCGCCGGUUCGAAUCCGGCCACCCCGACCA